AGCGGCGUAAGGGACAGUAAUGUGUAGGUACGUACCCCUGGGUCUGGGAUAUCCGCGGGAAACUGCGAGUAAUACCAGAUAAUGUCUCCGGACCAAAGGUGUGAUUCCACCUGGGGAGCGGCCUGCAUCCUAUUAGCUAGUUGGUGUGGUAAUGGCGCACCAAGGCAAAGAUGGGUAGCGGGUGUGAGAGCACGACCCGCGUCACUGGGACUGAGAACUGCCCAGACACCUACGGGUGGCUGCGGUCGAGAAUCUUCGGCAAUGGGCGAAAGCCUGACCGAGCGACGCCGCGUGUGGGAUGAAGGCCUUCGGGUUGUAAACCACUGUCGUAGGGGACGAAAUUUCAGUGGGUUAUCCCAGUGAAUUGACCGAUCCUAGGAGGAAGGGUGGGCUAAGUUCGUGCCAGCAGCCGCGGUAAGACGUACCACCCAAACGUUAUUCGGAAUUACUGGGCUUAAAGAGUCCGUAGGCGGUCAGGAAAGUUGGGCGUGAAAUACCUCGGCUCAACCGAGGAAUUGCGCUCAAAACUACCUGGCUUGAGAGAGACAGAGGUGAGCGGAACUGAUGGUGGAGCGGUGAAAUGCGUUGAUAUCAUCAGGAACACCGGUGGCGAAAGCGGCUCACUGGGUCUUUUCUGACGCUGAGGGACGAAAGCUAGGGGAGCGAACGGGAUUAGAUACCCCGGUAGUCCUAGCCUUAAACGAUGAGCACUAGA
RNAcentral lists this ribosomal RNA (715 nucleotides) under uncultured bacterium. Its description in RNAcentral is "bacterial SSU rRNA". It matches the Rfam family "Bacterial small subunit ribosomal RNA", at positions 94 to 820 of the family's 1533-position model. The record is from RNAcentral.